RNAcentral lists this ribosomal RNA (479 nucleotides) under uncultured bacterium. RNAcentral describes it as "partial 16S ribosomal RNA". It matches the Rfam family "Bacterial small subunit ribosomal RNA", at positions 28 to 507 of the family's 1533-position model. The record is from RNAcentral.
GAUGAACGCUGGCGGCGUGCUUAACACAUGCAAGUCGAGCGAGAAGUUUUGAAAAGAUUCUUCGGAUGAAAUUUAAAAUGGAAAGCGGCGGGCGGGUGAGUAACGCGUAGGCAACCUGCCCCAUACAAAGGGAUAGCAUUUUGAAACGAAUAUUAAUACCUUAUGAAACUUAACUAGUGCAUGCUAGGUAGGUCAAAGAUUUAUCGGUAUGGGAUGGGCCUGCGUCUGAUUAGCUAGUUGGUGAGGUAACGGCUCACCAAGGCGACGAUCAGUAGCCGACCUGAGAGGGUGAACGGCCACAUUGGAACUGAGACACGGUCCAAACUCCUACGGGAGGCAGCAGUGGGGAAUAUUGCACAAUGGGGGAAACCCUGAUGCAGCAACGCAGCGUGAAAGAUGAAGGCCUUUGGGUCGUAAAGUUCUGUUCUAGGUGAUGAAAACUGACAGUAACCUAGGAGAAAGCCCCGGCUAACUCCGUG